Molecule: long non-coding RNA, 839 nt
Filed under: Parus major (Great Tit)
Lineage: Eukaryota; Metazoa; Chordata; Aves; Passeriformes; Paridae
Description: lncRNA (ENSPMJG00000006376.1)
Source: RNAcentral
ACACCUUACAUAAUCUUUAAAUUAUAGGAAAAUGCUAGAAGGGAGUUCUGAGAUUCAGCAGCUGAAGUAAUGCUGGAGAUUUAUAGCUCUCUGAAGUCGACAUUUGUGACUGACCUACAGCACACCAGGGCUGCUAUUUCACUUUCCUGAUUCAUGAUGACAAAACAAGGACAGAGCAUAGAUUAAACAUGGAAUUAAACUGGUCUCCUAGGGCAGGUUUCCCACUGGACCUUCUUCUAUGACACACUUUAUCUUCAACUUCUAAGUAUAUACAGAAUGAAAACACCCAUUUCUUGAGGGUGAAGCACUGGCUUGCUACAAGUAAAGGAAAUUUUGUCUCAUUUGAAAAUCCUUCCAACUAAGGACAGAUGCUGACCUGGACACCAAAAUACCUGUCUUAUAGGAGGAAAACUGCCACUUAGUAACUCUUCUGAUUAAAAAAAAAAAGUUUAUAUAUUUAUGUAGAGCCACAUUUCCAACUCCCAGAGACAUCCACACAGAACUGCUCUGUAGGACUUCUACAGAAGUGGCCUUUGGGAUAGGCCUAAGGAUUUUACACUGGAAUGGCCAGUAUGUCUGAAGUGUACCACAGCCCUCACUUCAAAGAGCCCCUCACUAAGCUGAAGGAAGAACACACAUUUCCAGGAUGCACUGCCCCAUGGUCUUUCCAACUAUGUGAAAGGAGGCUUUAUUGAGAUUUUAGUUCAUUAGAAGCACAGAAAAAUAUGAGGAAAAUAUAUUUAAGGUCACCCUUGCUCUCCCCACUUCUUCAAAGAUUUCAAGGUAAUGACUUAAAUUGAAACCUAUAAUGAAAAAACAUAUUCUUACAUCAUCAUUAU